UGUUAAAAAUAUUAUUUAUCUACAUCAUUCUACUAUAUCUUAUGUAUUAUAGCGAAACACUACACGCACACCACGAAAUUAUUUCCAAUUAUCACGACGACGGCGUAAAAUAAAUUGUCGUUCAAAAGUAUAAUAUUACAAUAAUAAUUAUAUAGCUGCUGCGUGAUUAAUAAUUUGUUCAUAUAGGCGAAGUGGAUGGGAUAUAAUUUCUAAAAUCGCGUUAUUUCGUCCCCCGGGGAAUUAAAAAUACUUUUCUAGCUCCGAAUAUCUCAUAGUUUGAAUUCAAUUAGCCGUUUGUUUCAGAACCGUUAAACCAAGUUUUUUAUUAUUAUUUUUUUUAAUGAUAUACGCUAGGGAAAUUAAUAUUCUAAAAACUAAAAAAAAAAAUGCAAUUCCAAAAAUAUUGAAUAUUGUGCUAUGAAAAAAUGUUAAAAUACUAAACGACAGUACCCAAAACCCAAUCGUUUACAAAUAUCGACUCAUUCUGGAAAUUCACUAUACUGUAGAUGAUAAUUUAUUGCGAUUAGCCUUAUCGUAUUUAACCUUACAGAGUGACCUAUUCGUAUACAUCUAGUGUAAAAUAUUUUAAAAGAAGGAUAACAUAAAAUAUAAGAAUGACGUAUUUACAGGCAGUAUGUAGAUUAAACAAUUUAGUACUUCCUGUUCAUAAUACAUUUCCGUGUCUAUAUUAAUAUUCUCAUACAUAAUAUACGUAUUUCUUGCUCAUUAUCAAGUUAAAUUAUUUAAUUUAUAUCUGUAAACAAUGAUAAACCCGCCGUUACCAACAAAAUAUAUGGUUU
Non-coding RNA from Cinara cedri, 800 nucleotides. The record is from the annotation of a GenBank genome assembly. NCBI's taxonomy places the organism in Eukaryota, Metazoa, Arthropoda, Insecta, Hemiptera, Aphididae.